AGCCUAAUGAAUAUUUAAUAUUAGGUAAAUUCUGCUCAAUGAUAUUAAAUAAAUAGCCGCAGUACUUUGACUGUGCGAAGGUAGCGUAAUAAAUUGGCUUAUAAUUGAAGUCGGGAAUGAAGGAAUACAUGAAUAUAAACUGUCUUAUAUAAAAUUAAACUAAUUUUCUAAAUAAGUGAAAAUUCUUAUAAAAUGUUUUAAUAGACGAGAAGACCCUUGAAAUUUUUACUAAAUAAUAUAAUAUGUUAAUAGUUUUUGUUGGGGCGACAGAUUUACAAAUAACUGAAUUUUUGUAAUAAUUUAUAAUACAAAUUUUAUUAAUUAAAAAUAAAUUACUCAAGGGAUAACAGCAUAAUUUAUAAAAAAGUUUGUGACCUCGAUGUUGGACUAGGAAAUUUUAAGUUUAGAAGAUUUAAAAUUAGGUUCUGUUCGAACUUUUAUUCUCCUACAUG
RNAcentral lists this ribosomal RNA (452 nucleotides) under Corneosagda ptychodes. RNAcentral's name for it is "partial 16S ribosomal RNA". Lineage: Eukaryota; Metazoa; Mollusca; Gastropoda; Stylommatophora; Sagdidae. The record is from RNAcentral.